Molecule: RNA transcript, 3149 nt
Organism: Helianthus annuus (common sunflower)
Lineage: Eukaryota; Viridiplantae; Streptophyta; Magnoliopsida; Asterales; Asteraceae
Gene name: phospholipase D zeta 1-like
Exons: 6
Source: RefSeq, a predicted model, not a curated record
ACCUUUAAAACAGAUCAUUGGUCGUUCGAUCAUCACACAAUCCGACGGUUGAACUUAUAGUAAAGCAUAAAGGUUAUCAAAACCUUUGGCGGGCUAGACACUUCUUCGUUCCCCCCAAAUCACACACCAGUUGCCUCCCCAGAUCCUCGAUUGACGCCGCCUCCUCUCCGCCAGUCGCCGGACCACCUCCUCAGCAACGCCGAACCACUAGAUAUUUAUGUGCGGGUGGUGGUUGUGCCUGGAUCUUUAUUUGCGGCGCCCUUUUCAUACUAAUGCGUCUUCUUGCCUUGAUAGUUUACUGGAGGCAAAAGCCAAGCAAGGGAUUCAGAUUUAUAUCCUGAUGUACAAAGAGCUUGCUCUUGCUCUGAAAAUUAAUAGUUUUUAUAGUAAGAAAAAGCUUGCUGCACUUCACGAGAACAUAAGAGUUCUACGUCAUCCGGAUCAUUUCUCUAGUGGUGUCUAUCUAUGGUCUCAUCAUGAGAAACUGGUCAGCCCAGCAGGCGGCCUCGCGUUCCAUUUUCUUUUAAAAAAUCAAAAUAUGAACCUCUAGUUUCCGACAUGCCAAUGAGAGGGUUAGUUGAUUAGCAAGGGAGCUCGAAUGUAACAACCGUGCACCCUACCAUGAAGUCGUGUUGGUCCUCGUGUCGCAUGUCGUUGCCAGGUCAACUUUAUUAGAUCCCUAACAUAUAUACAUUAAUAUUUGUAUACCAUUGAUAUGUUUUAAAAUAUUAAAACAAUCCUGACCCAGAAGCUAUUAAAUGGGUCACUUUAACCCUUUUAAAAACUUUGAAAGAUGUUUUUAAUGGUUAGGAAAUGCUAUAUCUGUUGUUUACAUUCGAGUUGGGAGGUAAUAUGGACAUUUCGUGCUGUUUUUCAGAUAAAGUUGGACAGUGUGUUACUUUAGGGUUUGAAUUUGUUUAGAAGAUGAAGCAUUAGUGAUGUACAUAGGUCAGUCAAUAUGUGGAGUUAGGUUCCUUCCCUUUCUUUUAUGCUGAAAAUGACAAAGAACAGGGUAUUCAUAGUAAAAACUAGUAAUUUGUAACACCCAGCACUUGUAUCAACAUACAUUGUCAGCUUUGCAGACUGGCAACCAAUCUUUGUUUUUGGGCGCUCAAAUGGAAGCCUGUCAACUUAAGGUCCUGCUGAUUGCUAAGUUUGUAAUAGGUACACUCAACUUAAGAACACGUGCUAAUGAAGUUAUUGUAUGUUUAGCAUGAACCAGGAAGCACUUCUUUGCUUGUGUAGUAUAAUGCAUGAGCUUCUUUUGAACAAGGUCAAGACCAUAGUUAUUAAAGGUACUAGGCGCACUCAAGGCGCAUAGGCCUUGCCUGGCGCCUAGGCGCAAAGCGCAAAAAAAGCGAGGGCUUGAGAAAAAUAAAGCGCAUAAUGAAAAAAAUUAAAAAUAUAAUAUGUAUUAGAAAAAGAAUGCUAUUCUUCAAAUAAAAUAAACAAAGUCUAUUAUGUAACACUUUAUAUCAUCUAAUUAGUACCAAAAUAUUAGUGUAUUAGUGUAGAAAACUAGUUUUCCGUGAUUAAAAGUAGAAAUUUGGCUAGAAUCUUGUCGGAAUUUAGCCGGAGACUCUCCAGAAUCUAGGAAUCUUGUCGGAAUGUGCGCCUGAACCAUCACUUGGAGAGUUAAAAUGCAAUUUCCUCGACUUAAAGCGCAACUGCCUCGCCUCGCCUAGAAAAUGGGCCUAGGCGCAAGAAGCGAUGGCUUUUAACAACUAUGGUCAAGACAUUGAACAGGUCAUUUGUUCUUACAAACUGAUAUGCAGGUUAGAACAUGUGGUUCUGUUGCUAACAAGGAAAUUCUGUAGCAAUAUUGCUCGAGUAUAACCUCAUUGCUAGUACUAUGCUAUGUUGUCAAAAGCGCAAAAAGCGCGCGCCUAGGCGCCCGGGCGCAGCGAGGCGCACCUAUAGCGCCUGGUGGUAGCCUAGGCGCAAAAAUGGUUUUUUUUGAAAAAAACGCUGCUGAGGUGCAAAAAGGCGCGCGCCUAGGCGCAAAAACGGUGCUGAGGCGCAGUGGAUAAGCAGGAAAACUGAAAAAAAUGAAACCGAGUGCCGAGGCAUAUAUAUUAGUUUUUUUAGUUUUAUAUGUGGAAUCUUAUUUAUUUUCAAAGAUAACAUAUUUUUUAUAUUUUUUUUCUCUAUCUGUGCUUUUCUUAAAAAAGCCCACGCUUUUUUUGCGCCUUGCACCUAGGCUCCGGGCGAGGCCGAUGCGCCUCGCCUGCGCCUUGCGUCUUUGACAACAUAGGUACUAUGUUACUAACCUACCUUAUGUUGUUUUUUUCAAAAUGCUCCCUACUAUCAGGCCUCGUUUAGUGGAUAUAUGCGAGUAUAUGGGGAUCCAACCUUACGGAAUAGACACACACUUGCGAUACAUGCUGCACAAAAUAUUACAAUGGUGUCUUUUUUGUAUUCAUUAAAAUAGUUGCUAAAAUGUUGGUACAUCAAUACUUAAUAGGUGAAUUUUUGCCUUCAUCAUAAAGCAAUCUUAUUUUGCCCUAUGUAACUGAAAUUUUAAGUAUGUUCUUUUUUUUUUAAUAUACUUUCAUAAUGCAUUGUUAGGGAGAGACAGAGUCCGAAUUUUUAAAUAUUGAGUUAUUUUAUGAUGCUGACUUAAAAAGCCUGAGACGCAGUAUGUAUGUGCAUACAUACUACAUCUUAAUCUCAUCCGAAUUUUAGGAAACUUCGGCAAAUAGCGGCUGAACCAGAAGCACACGGUUGGCCCUUUAUCUGCUCACUUAGUCAUUGCUCCGUAAUUUGGUUAUUACACAUGCUAAGAAGGAACUUGGUCUUGCAUUCAAGGGUAGUCAAAAGAUGGUGACUGAAGCACCAGAGGGAUCAGGAUAAGAAAGUGUGAUGUUUGGACUUGACAUCUCUACUCGCACUUCCUGUCGAUUAGUUGCCAAGGGGGCCUUGGAGCGUGUUUUCAAAGCAACACAUGAGUAGCUUGUCGCCUACAAGGAUCAAGUAGGAUGUGUUAUUUUUGUAUUUUGUUCGUCCAAUGAGUCUUUUUUAGCUUUUUGUGCCCUCAUUUGGCAGUUAAUUAUAUGAAUAAAUCAAGUAUUUGACACUUGUUCAUUGGAACUUGAAUUAUCUAUGAAUUUUGAUGUAUGGUGAAUUUAAAACAGUUUUUUGUGUGAUUU